RNAcentral lists this ribosomal RNA (428 nucleotides) under Chloroflexota bacterium. RNAcentral describes it as "Chloroflexi bacterium partial 16S ribosomal RNA". It matches the Rfam family "Bacterial small subunit ribosomal RNA", at positions 355 to 776 of the family's 1533-position model. Lineage: Bacteria; Bacillati; Chloroflexota. The record is from RNAcentral.
UAGGGAAUCUUGGCAAUGGACGAAAGUCUGACCGAGCAACGCCGCGUGAGUGAAGAAGGUUUUCGGAUCGUAAAACUCUGUUGUUAGAGAAGAACAAGGACGUUAGUAACUGAACGUCCCCUGACGGUAUCUAACCAGAAAGCCACGGCUAACUACGUGCCAGCAGCCGCGGUAAUACGUAGGUGGCAAGCGUUGUCCGGAUUUAUUGGGCGUAAAGCGAGCGCAGGCGGUUUCUUAAGUCUGAUGUGAAAGCCCCCGGCUCAACCGGGGAGGGUCAUUGGAAACUGGGAGACUUGAGUGCAGAAGAGGAGAGUGGAAUUCCAUGUGUAGCGGUGAAAUGCGUAGAUAUAUGGAGGAACACCAGUGGCGAAGGCGGCUCUCUGGUCUGUAACUGACGCUGAGGCUCGAAAGCGUGGGGAGCAAACAGG